GUCCCUACGGGGCGCAGCAGUGGGGAAUAUUGAGCAAUGGGCGCAAGCCUGACCCAGCAACGCCGCGUGAAGGAAGAAGGCUUUCGGGUUGUAAACUUCUUUUCUUGGGGACGAAGAAAGUGACGGUACCCAAGGAAUAAGCCACGGCUAACUACGUGCCAGCAGCCGCGGUAAUACGUAGGUGGCAAGCGUUAUCCGGAUUUAUUGGGUGUAAAGGACGUGUAGGCGGGAAUGCAAGUCAGAUGUGAAAACUAUGGGCU
Molecule: ribosomal RNA, 260 nt
Filed under: uncultured bacterium
Lineage: Bacteria
Description: partial 16S ribosomal RNA
Rfam family: Bacterial small subunit ribosomal RNA
Source: RNAcentral